This 494-nucleotide ribosomal RNA is filed under the name uncultured bacterium. RNAcentral describes it as "partial 16S ribosomal RNA". It matches the Rfam family "Bacterial small subunit ribosomal RNA", at positions 28 to 507 of the family's 1533-position model. The record is from RNAcentral.
GACGUACGCUGGCGGCGUGCUUAACACAUGCAAGUCGAACGGUGAAGCGCCUUCCUUUUUGGUGGGUGUGGAUGAGUGGCGAACGGGUGAGUAACACGUGAGUAACCUGCCCCCUUCUUCUGGAUAACCGCAUGAAAGUGUGGCUAAUACGGGAUAUUCUGGGUCUGUCGCAUGAUGGGUCUGGGAAAGAUAUUGUUUCGGUGGGGGAUGGGCUCGCGGCCUAUCAGCUUGUUGGUGGGGUGAUGGCCUACCAAGGCGGUGACGGGUAGCCGGCCUGAGAGGGUGGACGGUCACACUGGGACUGAGACACGGCCCAGACUCCUACGGGAGGCAGCAGUGGGGAAUAUUGCACAAUGGGCGCAAGGCUGAUGCAGCGCCGCCGCGUGAGGGAUGGAGGCCUUCGGGUUGUGAACCUCUUUCGCCAGUGAAGCAGGCCUGCCUCGUUUGUGGGUGGGUUGACGGUAGCUGGAUAAGAAGCGCCGGCUAACUACGUG